Molecule: ribosomal RNA, 446 nt
Filed under: uncultured bacterium
Lineage: Bacteria
Description: partial 16S ribosomal RNA
Rfam family: Bacterial small subunit ribosomal RNA
Source: RNAcentral
CCUACGGGAGGCAGCAGUCGAGAAUCAUUCACAAUGGGGGAAACCCUGAUGGUGCGACGCCGCGUGGGGGAAUGAAGGUCUUCGGAUUGUAAACCCCUGUCAUGUGGGAGCAAAUUAAAAAGAUAGUACCCCAAGAGGAAGAGACGGCUAACUAUGUGCCAGCAGACGCGGUAAUACAGAGGUCUCAAGCGUUGUUCGGAAUCACUGGGCGUAAAGCGUGCGUAGGCUGUUUCGUAAGUCGUGUGUGAAAGGCGCGGGCUCAACCCGCGGACGGCACAUGAUACUGCUAGACUAGAGUAAUGGAGGGGGAACCGGAAUUCUCGGUGUAGCAGUGAAAUGCGUAGAUAUCGAGAGGAACACUCGUGGUGAAGGCGGGUUCCUGGACAUUAACUGACGCUGAGGCACGAAGGCCAGGGGAGCGAAAGGGAUUAGAUACCCUUGUAGUC